UUUGAUUUGGCAGACGAAAUGCGUUUGAUUUAGGGUCAAAUUAUAACUAUUAUGUUAAUCGGUA
This 64-nucleotide transfer RNA is filed under the name Philine kinglipini. RNAcentral's name for it is "tRNA-Leu". The record is from RNAcentral. Lineage: Eukaryota; Metazoa; Mollusca; Gastropoda; Cephalaspidea; Philinidae.